UGUUUGUUAGGUUGGUGAGAAAGGGGGUUCCCCGAAAAGUUUCGUUAGUGAUUGGUUCUUUUCCGUUUUGGGGGGGUACGGGAAUUAUCCCACAUUCUGAGAAAGUGAGACAAUGCGUUUUCUAGAAUUACAGAGAAGAGAAACUGUAGGGUUGUCCUGAGGUUUCAACAAACCAAGGGAGAGUUAUCAUCAAAAUGAGGUGAAGAGUUGAGGACAGAUCAAUGAAGAACCUAUAUGAAGAAGAUUGUGGAGUAUUCUGUUUUUAAUCUGGCAACACCAUUAGUUCAAAUCACAAGUUCACGAGUUCAAAUCUACCUUACUGAUAAUCACAUUAAUAGACAGUUUUGCAUGACCUGUCUUAACAAUACAGACAAUUUUCACACAACUGUAUAAAUUUGAAGAUAAUGGAAAGUAGGAACUUUCCAAGACAACAAAACCAUCUUUCUGAUGGAAAUGCAGCCAUUGACUUAGGUACUUCUCUAUCUGAGUCUCCUGCUCCAUGGAAUGGUGGUUUAGCUUAUGAUGCACCGGAUGGUACCCUGACAAGAAGUGGGAAUCCUGGGGAGAGACUUGU
This is a long non-coding RNA of Pocillopora damicornis (cauliflower coral), 574 nucleotides long. The record is from RefSeq and is a predicted model, not a curated record. Lineage: Eukaryota; Metazoa; Cnidaria; Anthozoa; Scleractinia; Pocilloporidae.